Molecule: ribosomal RNA, 519 nt
Filed under: uncultured bacterium
Lineage: Bacteria
Description: partial 16S ribosomal RNA
Rfam family: Bacterial small subunit ribosomal RNA
Source: RNAcentral
UGGGGAAUUUUGGACAAUGGGCGAAAGCCUGAUCCAGCAAUGCCGCGUGUGUGAAGAAGGCCUUCGGGUUGUAAAGCACUUUUGUCCGGGAAAGAAAUCCUUGGCUCUAAUACAGUCGGGGGAUGACGGUACCGGAAGAAUAAGCACCGGCUAACUACGUGCCAGCAGCCGCGGUAAUACGUAGGGUGCAAGCGUUAAUCGGAAUUACUGGGCGUAAAGCGUGCGCAGGCGGUUUGCUAAGACCGAUGUGAAAUCCCCGGGCUCAACCUGGGAACUGCAUUGGUGACUGGCAGGGCUAGAGUAUGGCAGAGGGGGGUAGAAUUCCACGUGUAGCAGUGAAAUGCGUAGAGAUGUGGAGGAAUACCGAUGGCGAAGGCAGCCCCCUGGGCCAAAUACUGACGCUCAUGCACGAAAGCGUGGGGGAGCAAACAGGAUUCAGAUACCCUGGUAGUCCAGCGCCCUAAACGAUGUCAACUAGUUGUUGGGGAUUCAAUUUCCUUAGUAACGUAGCUAACGCGU